CCUCUUCUGCUCUCCCAAAGAACGUGCAAAAUGAAAUUACUAUGACCUGAAAAAUAAAGAGAGCAUUGUAAUAGGCAGACUGGCAACCUUAUGAAGGGUUGAGGUUUGGCUUCUCCUUGCCAGCAGGACAGGCUUUUAUUUUCUUUCAGGGACUAAAAGAAUAGAGCUUUCGCUCCAGCUGCUGUUUGAGGCAAAGUGACUUCCUGCUACAGAGAAAAAAGCAGGGUUUGUUGUUUCCAUUCACAGCAAGGCCAUAAAACGUCUGCAAAUAUCACCAUCUGCCAGUGUGAUAUUCAGGAGCUGCUGUGUAAAUCAAAACAUUUCUGAAUUAAUGAGGAAAACUGCUAACAUCUCCCCAAUUUGUACUUGCGUUACCAGUUACAGUAAGCUUCCAGGUGAGUAAAUUGUCAUUUUCAUUAUCCUCUGGGCAAAAACAGACGAACAGGCACCUUUGCAACCAGAAGCAGAGCUGGCUGCAGCCAGAAA
RNAcentral lists this long non-coding RNA (486 nucleotides) under Pogona vitticeps (central bearded dragon). Its description in RNAcentral is "lncRNA (ENSPVIG00000020337.1)". Lineage: Eukaryota; Metazoa; Chordata; Lepidosauria; Squamata; Agamidae. The record is from RNAcentral.